Molecule: ribosomal RNA, 680 nt
Filed under: uncultured bacterium
Lineage: Bacteria
Description: bacterial SSU rRNA
Rfam family: Bacterial small subunit ribosomal RNA
Source: RNAcentral
CGAGCGAGCGAUGAAGUUUUCGGAUGAUUUGACUGAGCGGCGGACGGGUGAGUAACGCGUGGGUACCUGCCUCAUACAGGGGGAUAACAGUUAGAAAUGACUGCUAAUACCGCAUAAGGCCGCAUGGUAAAAACUCCGGUGGUAUGAGAUGGACCCGCGUCUGAUUAGCUGGUUGGUGGGGUAACGGCCUACCAAGGCGACGAUCAGUAGCCGACCUGAGAGGGUGACCGGCCACAUUGGGACUGAGACACGGCCCAAACUCCUACGGGAGGCAGCAGUGGGGAAUAUUGCACAAUGGGGGAAACCCUGAUGCAGCAACGCCGCGUGAGUGAAGAAGUAUUUCGGUAUGUAAAGCUCUAUCAGCAGGGAAGAAAAUGACGGUACCUGACUAAGAAGCCCCGGCUAACUACGUGCCAGCAGCCGCGGUAAUACGUAGGGGGCAAGCGUUAUCCGGAUUUACUGGGUGUAAAGGGAGCGUAGACGGCAUGACAAGCCAGAUGUGAAAACCCAGGGCUCAACCCUGGGACUGCAUUUGGAACUGCCAGGCUGGAGUGCAGGAGAGGUAAGCGGAAUUCCUAGUGUAGCGGUGAAAUGCGUAGAUAUUAGGAGGAACACCAGUGGCGAAGGCGGCUUACUGGACUGUAACUGACGUUGAGGCUCGAAAGCGCGGGGAGCAAACA